AUGUGGCUCUCCUCUUGUUUA
RNAcentral lists this small RNA (21 nucleotides) under Arabidopsis thaliana (thale cress). RNAcentral describes it as "ATSL147280". Lineage: Eukaryota; Viridiplantae; Streptophyta; Magnoliopsida; Brassicales; Brassicaceae. The record is from RNAcentral.